CAUAAUUGUCACAUCCAACUUAGUAUUGAAAGUGAAAAGGAGAUUAGGUUAAUGAAUUCUUGAGUUAAUUUGAAUCGAUUAUUAUGUUUUUAUCAAAACGAUGUUUUUUGUUUUUUACAUUUCUUAGUGUUUGAUGCGGUCAGAUCUAUUGAGUUUGAUCAGGAUCAAUGUAGAUUGGCUUGAAAAAAUGUUGGAUCAUCAUGGCUAAUCAUAAUUAACUAGCCCAUCAUUUGUAAUUAUAAUAACAGUAAAUGGACCUGCAAUUUCCUGAGAUUAUACUGUAAUUAGCUAUCUAAAGUGGAAUUUGGUGCCUUUUGUAGAGAAUGAUUUGAAAGGGAAGCUAGGAGAGCCUGCAUAUUUGGAAGAAUGGAUUACCACCAUCACUUCCUUAACCGCCGGCGAGUCGGCUUUCAAGGUCACCUUUGACUGGGAUGAGGAGAUUGGAGUUCCAGGGGCAUUUCUGAUAAGAAACAAUCAUCACAGUGAAUUCUACCUCAAGACUGUCACACUUGAAGAUGUUCCUGGCCAAGGCCGAGUCCACUUUGUUUGCAACUCGUGGAUUUAUCCUACGAGGCGUUACAAUUAUGAUCGUGUUUUCUUCACUAACCAGGUAAUUAUGCAACCAUAGAAAGCUGAAGGUAGUUGUAAAUGUUUUCCUGAUCUAACAAAUCCUGAUACAUUUGUAUAGAAUUAUCUGCCGCACGAGACACCUGCACCGCUACGUAAAUACAGGGAAGAAGAACUGGUUAAAUUGAGAGGAGAUGGAAAAGGAGAGCUUAAGGAAUGGGACCGCGUUUACGACUAUGCUUACUACAAUGAUUUGGGAGAUCCUGACAAGGGUGCAAAGUAUGCCCGCCCAGUUCUUGGUGGAUCUUCUGAGUACCCUUAUCCUCGUAGGGGCAGAACUGGCCGAGCACCAGCAAAAUCAGGUCUUUACCUGUUGAGCGUCAUCUCGCAUUCAUGUUAUCAUCAAUGGUUUGUGAUUUUAUUUUUUGUUCACACUCUUACAAUUUCCGUGAUCUAAACAGAUCCCAACACUGAGAGCAGGCUGCCACUUCUCAUGAGCUUAAACAUAUAUGUUCCAAGAGAUGAACGAUUCGGUCACCUGAAGUUGGCUGACUUCCUUGCUUAUGCACUGAAAUCCGUCGCUCAAUUUAUUAAGCCUGAACUGGAAGCUUUACGUGACAGCACCCCUAAUGAGUUUGACUCCUUUGCUGAUGUACUGGAUCUCUAUGAGGGAGGGUUUAAGCUGCCUGAUGGUCCCCUACUAGAAAAUCUUAAGAAAAACAUUCCCGUGGAGAUGCUCAAGGAAAUUAUUCGAACUGAUGGAGAAGGCCUUUUCAGAUUUCCAAAGCCUCAAGUGAUUCAAGGUUUGAACUAAGGCAUUUAACUCUAUGCUUGUGCUGUUCUUAGACUGUCACUUUCUCGUUUUCAGCAACUUAAUUGUGAUCUAUUAAUUAUACAGAGAGCAAUUCUGCUUGGAGGACGGAUGAAGAAUUCGGUAGAGAAAUGCUGUCUGGAGUAAACCCUGUUCUCAUCCGUCGUCUUGAGGUACACUGAAGCUGCAACAAGUUUUUCUUUCUGCAAAAUUUAUAUUUUUUGUUUUUCUUGUGUCUAAGAACAAAUUAUUGCAGGAAUUCCCUCCCAAAAGCAAGCUAGACAGCAAACUUUAUGGUGAUCAAAACAGCACCAUAACUGAGGAGCACAUCAAGGAUAGUCUGGAUGGACUGUCCAUAGAUGAGGUAAGCUAUCUCUCGAUUGGUUUCUUCGACAAUUAUGUUUAGAAUCGGAUCUGUGAACGCUUCACGGAUGUAAUUGAUGAAUUUAAUCUUCCCAAAAGACAUGUUGUAGCUGACACACUUUGCUUCUGAAUAGGCGAUCGAGAAGAACAGGAUGUUCAUAUUAGAUCACCAUGAUGCAUUGAUGCCAUACCUGAGGAGGAUAAACACUACUACCACGAAGACUUAUGCAUCAAGGACUCUGCUUUUCUUGAAAGAUGACGGGACUUUGAAGCCUCUUGUAAUUGAGUUAAGCUUGCCCCAUGAAGAAGGAGAUGAAUUUGGAGCCAUUAGCAAAGUCUACACCCCAGCUGAACAUGGCGUUGAAGGCUCCAUUUGGGAUCUGGCUAAAGCUUAUGUGGCUGUUAACGACUCCGGUUACCAUCAGCUUAUUAGCCAUUUCUUGAACACUCAUGCUGUGAGUGAGCCAUUUGUGAUUGCAACAAAUAGACAACUCAGCGUGCUUCACCCAAUCUAUAAACUUUUGGAACCUCACUUCCGUGACACAAUGAACAUCAAUGCGCUCGCUAGGCAGACGCUCAUCAAUGCUGGUGGAAUCCUGGAAUCAACGGUUUAUCCUGCAAAGUAUGCCAUGGAAAUGUCAUCAGUAAUUUACAAAAACUGGAAUUUCACAGAGCAAGCACUUCCUGAAGACCUGAAGAAGAGGUAAACCUUAGUUUACUCAUAAAGGCUAAUUCAUAGUUGUUCAUAAUUAAUUUGCUAGAAUCUUAGAACUUGAAAUUAAAAAAACCACAGAGAAAUGCGUUGGGAACUUAGACUAUGGUUAAUUCUGUGAUGAUGCUGUAUUUCAUUUCAAUGACAUGUGCUACCUUGUUUACUCAGAGGAGUGGCAGUGGAGGAUCCAAAGUCUCCACAUGGUGUUCGCCUACUGAUAGAAGACUAUCCAUACGCUGUUGAUGGGCUAGAGAUAUGGUCAGCAAUCAAAGAAUGGGUCAGAGACUACUGCUUUUUCUACUACAAGAAUGAUGAGAUGAUUCAAAAGGAUUCUGAACUACAAUCAUGGUGGAAGGAAGUGAGAGAGGAAGGGCAUGGUGACCUGAAAGAUGCACCCUGGUGGCCUAAGAUGCUGACUCGUGAAGAGCUAAUAGACUCAUGCACCAUAAUCAUAUGGGUGGCAUCAGCUCUCCAUGCAGCUGUCAAUUUUGGUCAGUACCCUUAUGCAGGCUACCUUCCCAAUCGUCCAACCGUAAGCCGAAGGUUCAUGCCCGAGGAAGGCUCUCCUGAAUAUGAGGAGCUCAAGUCGAACCCUGAUAAGGCUUUCUUGAAAACAAUCACUGCACAGUUGCAAACACUUCUUGGAAUUUCCCUCAUAGAAAUUCUGUCAAGGCAUUCCUCAGAUGAGGUGUAUCUUGGACAGAGAGACACUCAUGAAUGGACAGCAGACAAGAAACCAUUAGAGGCGUUUGAGAAAUUUGGAAAGAAACUGGCAGAAAUCGAGGACAAAAUGCUAGACAUGAACAAAGCUGGGAAAUGGAAGAAUCGGGUCGGUCCAGUCGAGGUGCCAUACACUUUGUUGGUUCCUACCAGUGAAGGUGGACUCACUGGAAGGGGAAUUCCUAACAGCGUCUCAAUCUAAAUCUUCUCCAUAAGACUAUUUAUUCUAUUCUUACUCAUUUGUCGGUAUGAAAGCAGUACCUGAUUCUUGUUAGCAUCCAAGGCACAUAUGUCCUGAUGUAAUAAACUCCAUAAAUAAUGCAGAAUAAAAGUUGUUCCUUUUUGUCAUUUGAUUGGAGUUGAAUUCACUUAAACAAUAACAUCGUACUUGCUGAUGGGCUAAUUAGCUGACCAAGCAGAGUUUAAAGAGAACUUCCAUUUCUUGAUUUAAGCGCUCAAAAUGCUGACACAUUUUUCUCUUCCUAAGGCCGGAACUACAAUUAUAAGUGGAUAAUUUUCGUUGUGAUGAUGAAAACUUGUCCUUGUUACUGUUCUAACAUUUUUCCAUAGCUUAACCUGUUAGCUAGACUCCAUUGCAAAAGAGACUCUUGAAAUCAGAUCCCCCCUCCUUUAACUUGUUGAAUGAUGCAUGAAAUGCAUGGACAAUUGUUCUCUUCAUAAAGCCUUGUAAGGCCUGCUUGCAUUUUUAUCAGCAGAAGCAGAAGGUACUGAACAACAUACCUUUACUCUAUUGUAAAUGUUCUGACCAAGUACAUCCCAGUCCUUUCCCUGCCAGGCUAACCUGGGGAAGGGAUAAAUAUUACAGUCUGAGCUUCCUAUCACAUUAACUUACUCCUGAGGAAGCGUUUCAGGUGUGCUUGUAUUUUUUUCAAGAAGCAGCUACUUCCGAGUUGCUUUCUAUGCUAUUAAUUUGCUCUUGAUAAGAACCAACAUUUCCUUAUUACUGUACUUAUCACCUAGGUAGGGCUAACAGGAGCUAGACGUAUAUUUUCUUUACGUUCAAUUCAUCAUUUACAAAAGUAAAUAUUAAUUUUAUUUCCUGCAACAUAAGCGAGUUGCUAAACCAGAUUCAAAAGUUCUAAUGUUGACUCAAAAGACAAAUUUGUAAAAAACUUUCUUCAGCAUCAUACUUUUUAAUGGAGUUCUCCCUCUCCCUUUCUACUUUGUAAGUUGUGAACGGAUUUUUGUGUGUGAGAGCACAUUCAUUAAGGAAACCAUUGAUCCUUUUUUAAUGUAGUAAAUAGUCUUCUACAUAUUAAUUUUGUACUUUCCUCUAACUUCCUUAAUCUGACGAGGUUGAUACAAGCCUAUCUCAAGUCAGUUUUGUUUUCUAUAUAUAAUUAACUCCGCCAAUCCAUGACCCGAGCUUCGGGCUUAAUGUGAUGAUAACUAGGCAUAAAAGAAGUAAAUAAUGGCCGGUAAGUCUUAGUCUACUCACAAAUUAAAGUCUGAUUCGGAGCUGUGUGAACCUCCUCUGUCUUAAUUUGUCCUUGAUUGCUUCCUUCAUUAAUUGUCUCAAUGCAGGGUCUUCAAACCAAAUUGAAUUUGAUAUGAUGAAAAUUAUCAUAAUUGAUAUCUUCAAAAUAAAAAAAUAAAAAAGCACAUGUCAUACAUGUGGACUUGUAAGUACCUGUCCUUGUAAGUAGUAGGCCAGUCUUCACAAGUCCAGUAAAAAGACUAGCAACAGUGCAAAUUCAAUAUGAAAGAGAGACUUUAACAAAACUCAUCUUUUUUCCAAGGAAAUGCAAUGUGGCAAGUGAAGCUUCUCAGUCUUUACCACGUACAUAUUCCCUCUCUAUAAAGACCUUCUCCACUCACCUUAGUUGGCAUCACAAGCCUAGCUUUAGUAGAUUCUUUUUGUAGCCCAAGAAGAGAGCAACCAGGCAAGAGGGAAAGAAAUGUUUCAGAACAUCGUUAAUGCUAUCGCAUCAUGCUGUGCAGGGGACAGUAAGAUGAAGAUCAAAGGCACUGUUGUGUUGAUGAAGAAGAAUGUCUUAGAAUUCAAUGACUUUCAUGCUUCGGUUCUUGAUCGUGGCCAUGAGUUGUUUGGCCAAGGAGUCUCUCUGCAAGUCAUUAGCGCUGCCAAAAGUGACCCUCCAGGUAUAUACAACAGUUCUUUCAUCAUUUUGUUGCUGAUUCAGUACUUCAUGCCUUUUCAAUCCCAAGAUGUUUUUCUUUUAUUGCUUGAUGAAGUUCAUUAAGAACACCUAGAGGGCUAGAAUAAGCACCCAGGAGAGGAAAUUCAUACAAAAAGCCAAAGGGGAGAGAGUAUAAGCCAAAGAGCAAGACAAGCUAGACAUGCAUGAAAAACACAAGAAAAACCUUAUCCUGCUCCCCAAGAUCAGGAUAUCAUCAUGAGAGGCGGCAGUACAUAAACAAAAGAAAAGUGAUGUAAGCUGCAAAUCAUGGCUCCUUUUGCCACAAGCCAGCUGAGCUUUAUACAAAUAGAGAAUAGGUCCAGGGGCUGUACGUAGAGCCAGAAGCCUGAACAACUAAACCUAGCUACCAAGCACCCCAAAAGACCACUCAACACCGAUCAGCAGCAGAUUAGUAUCCACAAGGGACACAAUCAAAUAAGAUUUGCAGCAGAAAAUUAAAGUUGGGAGGCUAGGGAAACCAGUAAAUUUGCUAGUGGGGAGAACAAAGAAUUUUAAAUUAGCAAGUAUAAACCCGACAGUGACAAGAUUAUUAAGUUAUGCUUGAUUCUCCAUAGUUGACCAUUUUCCAUGUGUGGUUUAUAGUCUUCCUUUCACACGUAUAUGCACCGUUUUAAUCAAUGUUACGGUCACUCGGUACAAGGCUGUGUCAUGAGUUGGAGAAUUUAACCUUAUCCUGUUCAGUGACCUGCUCCAAUACCCGUUAUAAUCAAGUUUGAUGCAUACAUCAUGGUAGGGACUAGGAACAUUAAGGCUGUGACAACUCUUCAUAGUCACUGCCAUGUUACUUUAUGAAAAUGCAUGAAACAAAUUCGAAGGCAGAAAUUGUUUUUUCCUAUGAUAUUUUUGCCUGUCAGGAAAACAUUAAAUAUAUAAGGAGGAUACUUUUGCCUGUCAUAGUUUUUAGAAAAAGUUAAUAUUUUUGCCUGUCAUAGUUUUUAGAAAAACAUUAAAUAUAUAAGGAGUUAGGUUGGGCGUGUUUUCUAUGAUUUUACUCUUAGGAGUGGUCACCUGUUCCUGGACCGUGUCUAAUGUUCAUAAUAUAAAAUAAAAUCUUUAAAUUAUUAGGGUAGUAUCAAUUUUUCACUAAAAUUAUUUUUUAUAUCAAAAUUUACCCCUAAAACUAUUUUAAUUUCUCAAUUAUGACUUUUAUAAGAAUUACUUAAUAGAAAGCAUUAAAUUUUCAAAUGAUGUCAUGUUCUUACAAAAGAAAAGUACAAUUUUGAUUGGAAACGUGGAUGGAAUGACUUCGGGUGCGUUUGGCACUGUUUUUUUUUAAAAAAUUAAUUAAUUUUUAUUUUAAAUUAAUAUGUUUUUGAUAUUUUUAAAUUAUUUUAAUGUGUUGAUUUCAAAAAUAAUUUUUUAAAAAUAAAAAUAUUAUUAAUAUAUUUUUUUAAAUAAAAAAUAUUUUUAAAAAUAACCAUGUUUUCAAACAUGUUUCAAAGCAGACAAAAACCAUUAAAUUAUGACUUUCUUCAAUCACCCAUCUUACCCUUGGGUCUCAUCUCACUGUCUCUCACAAGGUCAUGAUCACGACCCCUAAAAUGGUUGAUGUGGUAAGGCACGAAACCCACUACUGCUAACUUUUUGGACAUGUAUGGAUGAUCAUGUCGAGGACUAGGGGCAUAAAGAUUCUGACGUUAUUUAUACCUAAAUGCACUGUGCUUGGAGUAAAUUUCAAAAUCGAAAUGAGGCCAAACCAAGUCACGGGCAUCACCUCAAGUCAAAGGAAAUAUGGUUGGUGACAAGGACUUUCAAAGAGUAAUAAAUUUCUACGUAAAUUCUUUUAAUAUGCCUGUAAGUAUGAUCAUUCUUAUUACAUCAUAAUUCUUUCUUGUUACUCCAUGAUCUGUGGGAUAGACUCACACGAUUGUUGCUAACAUGAGGCUGUAGGUUGUUAAUAUUCCUCUGCAAACUAAGCAGAGGUAGAAGGCACAGUUUGUUGCGAAAAUAUACAAGGGCAGCCUUGGGCACUGGUUUAGUAAAUAUAUCAGCAAUCUGAUUAGCAGAGGACACAUGUUUAGUGACAAGUAAUCCAAGUGCAACUUGUUCGCGUACAAAAUGGUAAUCCAACUCAAUGUGUUUACUCCGAGCGUGAAAGACAGGAUUGAUGGUCAUGUAUAGAGCACUGAUAUUAUCGCAGUAGAGAAUUGGUGGAUGUGAUAGAGAUAUGCGAAGAUCUUUAAAGAUGUAUGUGAGCCACGUAAGUUCAGCAGUAGUAUUAGUCAUAGCUCGAUAUUUAGCUUCGGUACUGGAUCGAGAGAUUGUGUGUUGUUUUUUUGAACACCAGGAAAUGAUAUUGGUGCCAAGAAAGGUGCAGUAACCGGUGGUAGAUCUUCGUGUUGUAGGGCAGCCAGCCCAAUCCACAUCUGAGAAGGCAUGCAAUUCAAGAGUUGUAUUGGAAGAGAGACGUAGACCAGUAGCUAUUGUUCCUUUGAGGUCUCGAAGGAUGCGCUAAACCAGUUUCAAGUGGGCAAUUGUAGGAUUGUGCAUGAAUUGUGAAACAUAGUUGACACUGUAGGAUAGAUCGGGUCCAUAAGUGUGAGGUAUUGGAGAGCACCAAUAAUCCUACGAAACUGGGAUCAGCAAUGGAGGUAGUAUCUGCAUUUAUUUUGAAUUUGACUUUCAAAGGCGUGCUCAUGGGUUUGCAAUGAAGCAUACUAGAGCGGUCAUGGAUGGUAAGUGCAUAGUGUGACUGAGACAAAUAUAGUCCAAGGCAAAGGUAGAUCUAAAUUAACCCAGGAGUUGAUUACUGAUUCAAUAAUCUUAACUUCUUUCUGAAUCGUACCUGAAGCUUGAGUCAAUCAUUACAGCUAUAUAUAUUUUACCCAAUCCCCUUCAUCUCUCUAUCUACAUUGAAAUAUAUCUUUUUCUUAUUGUUUUUGUAUAAUUCUUGGACCUGCUAUUAUUUUAUAUUGUCAACAUGACCAUAUUUAUUCAUAGGUUUACCCAUUCCAACUAAUCUUUUUCUUUAUUACAUCCUCGUGUGCAUAUAAGUUAUUACACCUUGCUAAUAAUAUAUUGGUGUUAUACCAUGUCCACUACCAGAAAAUUGUCUGAGUCUAUCCCACAAAUCAUGAAGUGACAAGAAAGAAUUAUGAAGUAAUAAGGAUGAUUAUACUCACAUGUAUAUCAAAGGAAAUAUUGUUGGUGAUAAGGACUUUCCAAGAGUAACAAAUUCCUACGUAAAUGAUAAUUCAACAGCUAAAUACAGAGGGAAAUUAUCAAGUGUAGCUGUCAAUUAUUAUCUUUUUAUCAAAACGAUGUCUUUUGUUUUUUUUUUACAUUUCUUAGAGUUUGAUGCGGUCAGAUCUAUUGAGUUUGAUCAGGAUUAAUGUAGAUUGGCUUGAAAAAAUGUUGGAUCAUCAUGGCUAAUCAUAAUUAACGUAGCCCAUCAUUUGUAAUUAUAACAACAGUAAAUGGACCUGCAAUUUCCUGAGAUUAUACUGUAAUUAGCUAUCUAAAGUGGAAUUUGGUGCCUUUUGUAGAGAAUGAUUUGAAAGGGAAGCUAGGAGAGCCUGCAUAUUUGGAAGAAUGGAUUACUACCAUCACUUCCUUAACCGCCGGCGAGUCGGCUUUCAAGGUCACCUUUGACUGGGAUGAGGAGAUUGGAGUUCCAGGGGCAUUUCUGAUAAGAAACAAACAUCACAGUGAAUUCUACCUCAAGACUGUCACACUUGAAGAUGUUCCUGGCCAAGGCCGAGUCCACUUUGUUUGCAACUCGUGGAUUUAUCCUACGAAAUGUUACAAUUAUGAUCGUG
Molecule: long non-coding RNA, 9111 nt
Filed under: Populus trichocarpa (black cottonwood)
Lineage: Eukaryota; Viridiplantae; Streptophyta; Magnoliopsida; Malpighiales; Salicaceae
Description: long non-coding RNA (PTRI_LNC001400)
Source: RNAcentral